This is a long non-coding RNA of Populus euphratica (Euphrates poplar), 576 nucleotides long. RefSeq lists it as uncharacterized. The transcript is spliced from 2 exons. Lineage: Eukaryota; Viridiplantae; Streptophyta; Magnoliopsida; Malpighiales; Salicaceae. The record is from RefSeq and is a predicted model, not a curated record.
CAAAAUACAAAUAAAAAUUCAAACUAAACAAAUAUUAUAUUAAAUAGUUUGAAAAUGACAAAAUAACCCCUCAAAACUCCAUAACAGUGCUGGGAAUCCCUUCUGGAACUGCCUGAAGUCGUGGCGGCGCGUCCUUCCACGCACCACCGUCACUGGCGGCGCGUAGGUUUACACGCCACCUCAGGAAAAGCCAAGCAUCUGGUGGAUCCGGCCGACUUUCUUCUCCUCUUCCCUUCUACACCGGCAGUGAGAAGCAAGGUCACCUGCAAAGCCAAGAAAAUGCAACAACCAGUUGAUUUUAGUUCUGUUUUAGAUCUGCUUUUAUAUUUAUUUUUCUGCCCCCGUCGUUCCUUUCUUCUUCCCCGAUGGCAGAUCUACUGCAGAGUGGCCGUUCGGUCGGCGGCUUUUGCAUAGUCUGUUGUGUUUGGGCCUCUGCAGGAGGCGACAAGCUAGGUCUACUGUCGGCCGAUUGCUGUGGAAGAGAUCGAAGGAGAAAAAGAUCUGUUGGAAUGGGGGAAGCUCUGUUGGCUGAGGGGCUGGUCUUGGGUUGGCGUUGGCUGCGAGACUUUGGUGGAA